Molecule: small nuclear RNA, 115 nt
Organism: Trifolium pratense (red clover)
Lineage: Eukaryota; Viridiplantae; Streptophyta; Magnoliopsida; Fabales; Fabaceae
Product: U5 spliceosomal RNA
Exons: 1
Source: RefSeq, a predicted model, not a curated record
AAUCAUGGAGUCAUGUAGCGAACUAUUCUUUUGCCUUUUACUAAAGAAUACCAUGUGGUUGUCAUUCAAAGUGGCAUACGAUAAUUUUUUAAAAAAGUUUUCUUAAAUGAGAGCU